Leopardus geoffroyi (Geoffroy's cat) is the source of this 1366-nucleotide long non-coding RNA. RefSeq lists it as uncharacterized. The record is from RefSeq and is a predicted model, not a curated record. NCBI's taxonomy places the organism in Eukaryota, Metazoa, Chordata, Mammalia, Carnivora, Felidae. The transcript has 2 exons.
AAAAAAGCCACAGAAUGCUUGAAGAUUACACUAGAUGAAAUGAAUUAUCUUUAUCAAACCCAGAUAGAGAAGCACUCGCCCAUGAGGGAUUCCGCCACCAGGCCAGAGAGCAUUCUGUCUUGCAGAGGCACACCCUGAACUGUGCUCUUAUGUAACUAGAAGGUUUUGUCUUUUCACCUCUUUCUUUGGCAGCCAUGGAUCUGGUUUUCAUUGUCUUCACCACAUGUUUUCUCCUUGCUGUAUGUUGCGAUUGUUGACUUAUAGAGCAUCAAAAAGAAACAAAACAAAUCUCCAAACAGCAGAAUUUGGCCAGAGCCAAAAGCAACUCGCAACGUUUGAGCUGAGCUUACUCAAAGCUGGGCAAAAAGACACAGGCUUACAAAAAUGCCUUUUGUUUGAACCAAACACUGAAGCCAAGGCAUCUGUGUCCAGAAGUUCUUGUGCAUGGAUGAGCCUCCGAUCCCAACCUGCAGGAAGCCAGCUGGAUGAGGCUCUUGGCAGCUGUGUGUCAGAGAACCGAAGCAACAACCUGUCUUGCUUCAGCUUUCGAGUGUCUCUAGCCCCAUGGAGCUUGGAGAGUCCUAACAGAUUCCCUCAUCCAUGGCAACAGAUCUAUGCCCGGAUUGAAACUGUGCUCACAUUCCAGGAACACUGCAUCCAUUAACUCAGUGACACAUUCUAUUUCUCUACUAAUUGCAUCAGCCGUAAUCUCAACUGCCCAAAGAGGCCACGCCUGCCAUUAAGACUUCACGUUUAAAUAAUCUAAGCUUCCCCAUGUCUCAGGCUCAGUAACCAGCACCCAGCUCAAGAAACAGAACGACUAGUGCCACAGAAGCCUCCCGCGUGCCCUCCUAGUCGCUGCAUCGCCAAGGGAGUGUCCCUGGAAGAAGCUUCUGGCACCUCCUCUCUAUUGGCAGCUGCCCACACAGCCAGUUCCCAAGGGCAGGUCCCUGGCAGCUCUGGAGCUCCUGUUCUGUGUCUUCUCACACCAUGUCCAGAGAACAGCUCACAGGGGGCAGACCCCCACCCCACGGGACAGGGCAUGGCCCCAAGGCCUGCAGCGUCCACCCCACCCUGUGGGUGUCAUUACCCUCCCCCAGCCUCUAGUCCCAAUGGGGCAGACCACUGAGUGGAGGCGCUCCCCUCACAAUGACCCCUGCCCUGAUCCCCACUCACCUUGUGUUUCCUCCCAACCUAAAGGGCACUGUCAUGACCUCAUGUUCCCUGGGCAUUUCCUCCCUCGGCCCGCCGGUCAGUUCCCAGGUUCUUUCAGCUCUGUCACUUUCGUAUUUCCUAAACCCACCACCACUGCCUUAAUUCAUUCUAACAUUUUUCUUCCUUGAUUACAUACAAUACCUGCAUAACA